GGCUGGGUAGCUCAGUUGGUAGAGCGUCCGCCUGAAAAGCGGAAGGUCACCGGAUCGAUGCCGGUCCCAGCCA
RNAcentral lists this transfer RNA (73 nucleotides) under Bifidobacteriaceae bacterium. Its description in RNAcentral is "tRNA-Phe". It matches the Rfam family "tRNA". From Rfam's summary of the family: Transfer RNA (tRNA) molecules are approximately 80 nucleotides in length. Their secondary structure includes four short double-helical elements and three loops (D, anti-codon, and T loops). Lineage: Bacteria; Bacillati; Actinomycetota; Actinomycetes; Bifidobacteriales; Bifidobacteriaceae. The record is from RNAcentral.